RNAcentral lists this transfer RNA (72 nucleotides) under Candidatus Liptonbacteria bacterium. RNAcentral describes it as "tRNA-Val". It matches the Rfam family "tRNA". From Rfam's summary of the family: Transfer RNA (tRNA) molecules are approximately 80 nucleotides in length. Their secondary structure includes four short double-helical elements and three loops (D, anti-codon, and T loops). Lineage: Bacteria; Candidatus Liptoniibacteriota. The record is from RNAcentral.
GGGCGAUUAGCUCAGCGGCAGAGCACUUCGUUUACACCGAAGGGGUCGUAGGUUCAAAUCCUACAUCGCCCA